UAUAUAUAUAUUUAGAGUUUAUUAUCGAAAUGGUGUCUCAACUAUUACAAAAUUACUAAUUUGAUCAUCGAUAAUUUUUCUUACCCAAUUAAGU
This is a long non-coding RNA of Ipomoea nil (Japanese morning glory), 94 nucleotides long. RefSeq lists it as uncharacterized. The transcript has 3 exons. The record is from RefSeq and is a predicted model, not a curated record. NCBI's taxonomy places the organism in Eukaryota, Viridiplantae, Streptophyta, Magnoliopsida, Solanales, Convolvulaceae.